GCGAGUGAAGCGGGAAGAGCUCACGUUGNGNNUNUGGCCCUCGGGCCCGAACUGUACACUGGAGAGGCGAGGCCAGCCGCUGUCCGCGGCCAAGUCUGAUUGGAAAUGAGCAUCAAGGAGGGUGACAAUCCCGUCCAUGCCGCGGUAUCGAUCAGCGCGCGUCCGGCCCGCUUUCGACGAGUCGAGUUGCUUGGGAUUGCAGCUCAAAGAGGGUGGUAAACUCCAUCCAAAGCUAAACACGG
RNAcentral lists this ribosomal RNA (242 nucleotides) under Dictyota canariensis. RNAcentral's name for it is "partial 26S large subunit ribosomal RNA". It matches the Rfam family "Eukaryotic large subunit ribosomal RNA", at positions 89 to 325 of the family's 3401-position model. Lineage: Eukaryota; Phaeophyceae; Dictyotales; Dictyotaceae. The record is from RNAcentral.